UACGGGGGGGGCAAGCGUUGCUCGGAAUCACUGGGCGUAAAGCGCACGUAGGCGGAUCUUUAAGUCAGGGGUGAAAUCCUGGAGCUCAACUCCAGAACUGCCUUUGAUACUGGGGAUCUCGAGUCCGGAAGAGGUGAGUGGAACUCCGAGUGUAGAGGUGAAAUUCGUAGAUAUUCGGAAGAACACCAGUGGCGAAGGCGGCUCACUGGUCCGGUACUGACGCUGAGGUGCGAAAGCGUGGGGAGCAAACAGG
RNAcentral lists this ribosomal RNA (253 nucleotides) under uncultured bacterium. RNAcentral's name for it is "partial 16S ribosomal RNA". It matches the Rfam family "Bacterial small subunit ribosomal RNA", at positions 524 to 776 of the family's 1533-position model. The record is from RNAcentral.